Molecule: long non-coding RNA, 598 nt
Organism: Panicum virgatum (switchgrass)
Lineage: Eukaryota; Viridiplantae; Streptophyta; Magnoliopsida; Poales; Poaceae
Exons: 2
Source: RefSeq, a predicted model, not a curated record
UAUAUAUAUAUAUAUAUCAUUACGAUUCUGGAACUCAGGCUCUAACAGUCUGCACCACACCACGACCAUGUCGGCAAGGUCUUGCUUUUUGGCGGCCAUGUUCCUGUUGUUGAUUGGCAUCUUCCAGCUACACGCACCACGGGCUAUGGCGGACUCGGCGCCCGGUUGUACCAAAAACCCCAAUCAUCGUACUGUGUCUUGCCCUCGGGACCCUCCAAAUCAGCUGUGUAAUGAGCCACCAUGUCCGAAUCCUUAGUUAUCAGGAGCAGCGUUGCCAUGCAAGUUUUCAAACCGCCGAGAAAGGCUGACUCCAGUGGGAAUGAAUUCACAAGUUCUCUUGUCUCUCUGCGCAUGCAUGCAUGAUUGGGGGAUAAAAAUGUAUCUUUGCUCGUCCACCUUCCAUGGGUGCAGGCUUGUGUCAUAUAGUGGGUAUAGUUUUUGUGAAAAUUUGUGAAUGGUUAAAUCUUCUGUGUACCGCGAAUAAAAUAUAUUAUCUUGAUACUUCUUGCGUGUAUCUAUAACAUAUUAAAUGAUGUAUGAAGUUUUUGAACUAUAUUUGUUGGCCAAAUGGCCCUGCCCUUUUAGAGGCAGCACUUAA